ACAAACUUGGUCAUUUAGAGGAAGUAAAAGUCGUAACAAGGUUUCCGUAGGUGAACCUGCGGAAGGAUCAUUAACGAGUUGGAAUGGGUGGGGGUUGAUGCUGGUGCACAUUAUAUGUGUGUACAUGUGCUCGCCGCCACACUCUUCAUCCACUCUCAACCCCUGUGCACCUUAUCAGAGUUAGUAGUUGUGAUUGUAGCAGCCCUUGGCUCUACUGUAACAAUGAACACUUUGACAUUACAAACACGUAUCCUGUGAAUGUGAAUGUGUGUCAUGCUCCUUGUGAGUAUAAUACAAAUAAAUACAACUUUCAACAACGGAUCUCUUGGCUCUCGCAUCGAUGAAGAACGCAGC
This 354-nucleotide unclassified non-coding RNA is filed under the name uncultured fungus. RNAcentral describes it as "partial contains small subunit ribosomal RNA, internal transcribed spacer 1, and 5.8S ribosomal RNA". The stretch from base 1 to 73 matches the Rfam family "Eukaryotic small subunit ribosomal RNA", at positions 1759 to 1831 of the family's 1831-position model. The record is from RNAcentral. Lineage: Eukaryota; Fungi.